CACCACCCCUCCGGCCCCCGCCGGAAAGAGGACCUGGAGGAAAAGACCCCUCAGGCUCCGGCCGCAGCUCCACCCGCAGGGGCCGUGGGAAGCGGGCGCUCCGGGGAGGAUGCCGCGCCCAGUAGGGGUCGACCCGAAGAGGGGGUCCCCUCCGGGGGGGGACCUGCCCGGGGCUGGGCGAGGGUAUGAGUUCCCGGCUCCCCCACAUCCAUCACCCUCAGGCCACGCUGAGCUUCCUGGACGCGGAAGCCUAGGCCCCAGCACCGCUGCACCUGCCGGCCGGGCACCCCACUAACGCGGCAUCCCGAGAAGGGCCGACUUCCAGGACGACGCAGCUGCGUGCACACAGCCCCCCUUGGCCCGGUGCGGCGGCCCGCAGGGGAGAACGAGCUUGCAGGGUGCGGGUGCGGGCCGCUGGGGCCGAUCUGGCGUCGCAGAACCCGGGGUCCACACCGUCCAGGCUGCGGCCGCGACGACCCCCUGCCAGGCGCCGGUCUCCUCCGGGAGGGCUCCAGCCCGCGCCACCUCCAGGCACAGGGCGCCCUCGUAACUCCCAAUGAAAGUCCUGCGGGAAACGGUUCCCGACCUCGCCAGGCUGGGGGCAGAAGCGACGGGAUGACGCGGAUUGUAAUCGGAAGGUAGAAGCAACCCAAGUGUCCACUGAUGGCUGAAUGGAGAAACACAAUGUAGUAUAGAUACAUAGUGGAAUUUAACUCAGAAUUAAAAAGGAAGGAAAUGCUGUCAUCUGCUAAAAUGUGAGAAAACCUUGAGGACAUCAUGCUAAGUGAAAUCAGCUAGUCACAAAAGGACAAAUGCUGUAUGAUUCCAACUAGAUGAGGUACCUCAUACUAUUCAUCAAGACAAAGUAGAAUGAUGGGUGCCAGGGCUGGAUGGAGAAGAGAAUGGGGAGUCAGCGUUUAAUGGGGGCAGAGUUUCAGUUCUGCAAGAUGAAGAAGUUCUGGGGAUGGCUGGUGGUGCUGGCUGCACAAGAGGGAGGAAGACGAAAGCCAGCGCAGAGUUUCCCCAGAAAACAGGAGCCAGAUGGUGCGAAUCCAACAGACUCCACGUGAAAUCAGCCACACCAAAGGUCAGGAGAUCUGUGUGGAGAGAAACUUUCAGAGAAGGCAACCAGGGCACAUCUCUGUUUUAAAACCAUCUCCUGGGCCGGGCACUGUGGCUCACGCCUGUAAUCCCAGCACUUUGGGAGGCUGAGAUGGGCAGAUCACUUGAGGCCAGGAGUUUGAGACCAGCCUGGCCAACAGGGUGAAACCCAAUCUCUACUAAAAAUACAAAAAUUAGCCAGGUAUGUUGCCCAUCUAUAAUUCCAGCUACUCAGGAGGCUGAGGCACGGGAAUCCCUUGAACCGGAGAGGCGGAGGUUGCAAUGAGCCGAGAUCGUGUCACUGAACUCCAGCCUGUGUGACAGAGCGAGUCUCUGUCUCAAAAAACAAAACGAAACAAAACCCACAAAAAUAAAACCAUCUCCCUACCAUGAGCCCUCCACAUUUGCAAUUCAUGAAAAUGGAAAGCUGUCAUGUCCCCACGUGAAUUUUCGGGUCUCACUAGAAAGAUAACCAUCAGGACCGGCAACAUGGGAUUCAACAACAGUUUCUGGUCUAAUUUUUUAAAAAGGACGAAAGAAGGCAGGCUGGUGUCAUGCAAUACUGCUUGCAUUAAAGUAUGUACAUUUAAACUAUGUACCUUGAACUUUUAUUGGAAAAGCGAAGCUCAGUAGUAAAAAUUUACGUUAAUCAAAUUCAUGGAGACAGAAAGUUGCAUGGGAGUUGCCAAGGGCUGGGGAAAGCAAUGCCCACUCCACCUUCAGCUCUGUGAAUUUGGGGAGUCA
This 1845-nucleotide long non-coding RNA is filed under the name Homo sapiens (human). Its description in RNAcentral is "HSALNT0049412". Lineage: Eukaryota; Metazoa; Chordata; Mammalia; Primates; Hominidae. The record is from RNAcentral.